RNAcentral lists this ribosomal RNA (1423 nucleotides) under uncultured bacterium. RNAcentral's name for it is "bacterial SSU rRNA". It matches the Rfam family "Bacterial small subunit ribosomal RNA". The record is from RNAcentral.
AGAGUUUGAUCCUGGCUCAGGAUGAACGCUGGCGGCGUGCCUAAUACAUGCAAGUCGAACGAAACUUCUUUAUCACCGAGUGCUUGCACUCACCGAUAAAGAGUUGAGUGGCGAACGGGUGAGUAACACGUGGGCAACCUGCCCAAAAGAGGGGGAUAACACUUGGAAACAGGUGCUAAUACCGCAUAACCAUAGUUACCGCAUGGUAACUAUGUAAAAGGUGGCUAUGCUACCGCUUUUGGAUGGGCCCGCGGCGCAUUAGCUAGUUGGUGGGGUAAAGGCUUACCAAGGCAAUGAUGCGUAGCCGAACUGAGAGGUUGAUCGGCCACAUUGGGACUGAGACACGGCCCAAACUCCUACGGGAGGCAGCAGUAGGGAAUCUUCCACAAUGGGCGAAAGCCUGAUGGAGCAACGCCGCGUGGGUGAAGAAGGUCUUCGGAUCGUAAAACCCUGUUGUUAGAGAAGAAAGUGCGUGAGAGUAACUGUUCACGUUUCGACGGUAUCUAACCAGAAAGCCACGGCUAACUACGUGCCAGCAGCCGCGGUAAUACGUAGGUGGCAAGCGUUAUCCGGAUUUAUUGGGCGUAAAGGGAACGCAGGCGGUCUUUUAAGUCUGAUGUGAAAGCCUUCGGCUUAACCGGAGUAGUGCAUUAGAAACUGGGAGACUUGAGUGCAGAAGAGGAGAGUGGAACUCCAUGUGUAGCGGUGAAAUGCGUAGAUAUAUGGAAGAACACCAGUGGCGAAAGCGGCUCUCUGGUCUGUAACUGACGCUGAGGUUCGAAAGCGUGGGUAGCAAACAGGAUUAGAUACCCUGGUAGUCCACGCCGUAAACGAUGAAUGCUAAGGGUUGGAGGGGUUUCCGCCCUUCAGUGGCUGCAGCUAACGCAAUAAGCAUUCCGCUGGGGAGUACGACCGCAGGUUGAAACUCAAGGGAAUGGACGGGGGCCCGCACAAGCGGUGGAGCAUGUGGUUUAAUUGGAAGCAACGCGAAGAACCUUACCAGGUCUUGACAUCUUUUGACAAUCCUAGAGAUAGGACUUUCCCUUCGGGGACAAAAUGACAGGUGGUGCAUGGUUGUCGUCAGCUCGUGUCGUGAGAUGUUGGGUUAAGUCCCGCAACGAGCGCAACCCUUAUUGUUAGUUGCCAGCAUUAAGUUGGGCACUCUAGCAAGACUGCCGGUGACAAACCGGAGGAAGGUGGGGAUGACGUCAAAUCAUCAUGCCCCUUAUGACCUGGGCUACACACGUGCUACAAUGGACGGUACAACGAGUCGCAAGACCGCGAGGUUUAGCAAAUCUCUUAAAGCCGUUCUCAGUUCGGAUUGUAGGCUGCAACUCGCCUACAUGAAGUCGGAAUCGCUAGUAAUCGCGGAUCAGCAUGCCGCGGUGAAUACGUACCCGGGCCUUGCACUCACCGCCCGUCA